GAUGAAGAACGUAGCGAAAUGCGAUAAGUAAUGUGAAUUGCAGAAUUCAGUGAAUCAUCGAAUCUUUGAACGCACAUUGCGCCCGCCAGCAUUCUGGCGGGCAUGCCUGUUCGAGCGUCAUUUCAACCCUCGAGCCCCCCCGGGGGCCUCGGUGUUGGGGGACGGCACACCAGCCGCCCCCGAAAUGCAGUGGCGACCCCGCCGCAGCCUCCCCUGCGUAGUAGCACACACCUCGCACCGGAGCGCGGAGGCGGUCACGCCGUAAAACGCCCAACUUUCUUAGAGUUGACCUCGGAUCAGGUAGGAAUACCCGCUGAACUUAAGCAUAUCAAUAAGCGGGA
Molecule: unclassified non-coding RNA, 341 nt
Filed under: soil metagenome
Description: partial contains 5.8S ribosomal RNA, internal transcribed spacer 2, and large subunit ribosomal RNA
Rfam family: 5.8S ribosomal RNA (bases 1-120)
Source: RNAcentral